This 796-nucleotide long non-coding RNA is filed under the name Elaeis guineensis (African oil palm). RNAcentral describes it as "long non-coding RNA (EGUI_LNC007327)". Lineage: Eukaryota; Viridiplantae; Streptophyta; Magnoliopsida; Arecales; Arecaceae. The record is from RNAcentral.
CCAUCCCUGCAGACUACUCAUGACCACUUUGCUUCUGUAAUUGAGUGCAACCACCUUGGUGGUCUAAACCACAUCGAUCUAUUGCUUCAACCUGCGAUUGUACCCGUCCCCUUUGACCCAUAACAGAGCCUAAAAUGUUCUGUAAAUUAAAGAGAUGCUCCUUAUGUGUACCUAAAUAUUCUCCAUGGAUCUUCUGUUGUUCAGAUUGCAUAAGUCGGUCAACUCGAAUUCCUACUGUCUCUGCUUCUUGCACCGGAACUUUCGGUCGAACUUCUUAGGGGGCUACAGGCCUCUAGACCUCCUUCACCGUUGAAGUAGAUUUGCCAACAUGAUGACCUGGUGCAUAUAACUAUUUAUUUCUCAAGUUCAUUUAUUGCCACACCCCCUUCUCAUACAAUCAUUUUGGAUUGAGGGGGAGACUCGGAGUCAGGAGAGCUGCUUUUUGCCACUGCUUUAGGCGGUGAUCUUUUUCGCUUUUCCUUAAUGACCCCUGCUGCUCCAAAAGAUUCUACUUUUGCUGAAGAAGAUGAACUGAUAUCCAUAGGUUGGUUGCACCAAGGAACCCUCUUCCUCCUCCAUCAUGGGUGCAAACUGAGAUCCCUCUUGAUGAUCCAUUCUUUUUUCUAGGGAUCUUGCCUUCCCCGAGUUACCUGCGUUAGCCAAUUGUUUCUGCUGUAUCCAAGACCCAACCUUGCUUCCUGCUUCAUUGAGGAUGAGGACCUCCCCGGACGCGCUGACCCAUUAUUUCCCACUGAAACUUUAGAUGCCCUGAUCCAUGGUCCAUAUAUAGCUCUUU